AAAAAGAAAACAUCAGAAGUGAUAAACCAACUUAACAAAAUGUAAUUAAUCAUUUCGCUUAGAAUCGAGUACUCUUCACCGUCGUGGUCUUGUCCCUCGUGGUCGCCUUCGCCGUCGCCGGUAGCAUCGGCGGUGGACACGGAGGUGGAUUUGGUGGUGGACACGGAGGUGGAUUUGGCGGAGGACACGGAGGUGGAUUUGGUGGUGGUGGAUUCGGAGGAUCUGGAGGCUAUGGCGGCAGAGGAUUCGGAGGUGGACAUGGAGGUUUCGGUGGAGGAUUUGGCGGCGGUCAUGGUGGAUUUGGAGGUGGACAUGGAGGAUUCGGAGGCGGUCAUGGAGGAUUCGGAGGUGGCUUUGGAGGACGUUAUGGAAAGUAAACUAUUCGACGAUCUGCCACCUCAGUGGAUUGUAUAUAAAAAAAAAAACGUCUCCCUUUUU
Molecule: long non-coding RNA, 438 nt
Filed under: Penaeus japonicus
Lineage: Eukaryota; Metazoa; Arthropoda; Malacostraca; Decapoda; Penaeidae
Description: uncharacterized LOC122246575
Source: RNAcentral